This 550-nucleotide ribosomal RNA is filed under the name uncultured bacterium. Its description in RNAcentral is "bacterial SSU rRNA". It matches the Rfam family "Bacterial small subunit ribosomal RNA", at positions 355 to 896 of the family's 1533-position model. The record is from RNAcentral.
UAGGGAAUCUUCGGCAAUGGACGGAAGUCUGACCGAGCAACGCCGCGUGAGUGAAGAAGGUUUUCGGAUCGUAAAGCUCUGUUGUAAGAGAAGAACGAGUGUGAGAGUGGAAAGUUCACACUGUGACGGUAUCUUACCAGAAAGGGACGGCUAACUACGUGCCAGCAGCCGCGGUAAUACGUAGGUCCCGAGCGUUGUCCGGAUUUAUUGGGCGUAAAGCGAGCGCAGGCGGUUAAAUAAGUCUGAAGUUAAAGGCUGUGGCUUAACCAUAGUAGGCUUUGGAAACUGUUUAACUUGAGUGCAAGAGGGGAGAGUGGAAUUCCAUGUGUAGCGGUGAAAUGCGUAGAUAUAUGGAGGAACACCGGUGGCGAAAGCGGCUCUCUGGCUUGUAACUGACGCUGAGGCUCGAAAGCGUGGGGAGCAAACAGGAUUAGAUACCCUGGUAGUCCACGCUGUAAACGAUGAGUGCUAGGUGUUAGACCCUUUCCGGGGUUUAGUGCCGUAGCUAACGCAUUAAGCACUCCGCCUGGGGAGUACGACCGCAAGGUUG